RNAcentral lists this ribosomal RNA (529 nucleotides) under uncultured bacterium. RNAcentral describes it as "partial 16S ribosomal RNA". It matches the Rfam family "Bacterial small subunit ribosomal RNA", at positions 355 to 900 of the family's 1533-position model. The record is from RNAcentral.
UGGGGAAUAUUGCACAAUGGGCGAAAGCCUGAUGCAGCAACGCCGCGUGAGUGAUGAAGGUCUUCGGAUUGUAAAGCUCUGUCUUUUGGGACGAUAAUGACGGUACCAAAGGAGGAAGCCACGGCUAACUACGUGCCAGCAGCCGCGGUAAUACGUAGGCGGCGAGCGUUGUCCGGAUUUACUGGGCGUAAAGGGUGCGUAGGCGGAUGUUUAAGUGAGAUGUGAAAUACCCGGGCUUAACUUGGGUGCUGCAUUUCAAACUGGAUAUCUAGAGUGCAGGAGAGGAGAAUGGAAUUCCUAGUGUAGCGGUGAAAUGCGUAGAGAUUAGGAAGAACACCAGUGGCGAAGGCGAUUCUCUGGACUGUAACUGACGCUGAGGCACGAAAGCGUGGGUAGCAAACAGGAUUAGAUACCCUGGUAGUCCACGCCGUAAACGAUGAGUACUAGGUGUAGGAGGUAUCGACCCCUUCUGUGCCGCAGUAAACACAUUAAGUACUCCGCCUGGGAAGUACGAUCGCAAGAUUAAAAC